UACGGGGGGGGCAAGCGUUGUUCGGAAUUACUGGGCGUAAAGGGCUCGUAGGGGGCCAACUAAGUCAGACGUGAAAUCCCUCGGCUUAACCGGGGAACUGCGUCUGAUACUGGAUGGCUUGAGUUCGGGAGAGGGAUGCGGAAUUCCAGGUGUAGCGGUGAAAUGCGUAGAUAUCCGGAGGAACACCGGUGGCGAAGGCGGCUUCCUGGACCGACAUUGACGCUGAGGCGCGAAAGCUAGGGGAGCAAACGGG
RNAcentral lists this ribosomal RNA (253 nucleotides) under uncultured bacterium. RNAcentral describes it as "partial 16S ribosomal RNA". It matches the Rfam family "Bacterial small subunit ribosomal RNA", at positions 524 to 776 of the family's 1533-position model. The record is from RNAcentral.